This 137-nucleotide ribosomal RNA is filed under the name uncultured bacterium. RNAcentral's name for it is "partial 16S ribosomal RNA". It matches the Rfam family "Bacterial small subunit ribosomal RNA", at positions 372 to 526 of the family's 1533-position model. The record is from RNAcentral.
UGGGCGCAAGCCUGAUCCAGCCAUGCCGCGUGAGUGAUGAAGGCCCUAGGGUUGUAAAGCUCUUUUGUGCGGGAAGAUAAUGACGGUACCGCAAGAAUAAGCCCCGGCUAACUUCGUGCCAGCAGCCGCGGUAAUAC